Molecule: ribosomal RNA, 1434 nt
Filed under: Triticum aestivum (bread wheat)
Lineage: Eukaryota; Viridiplantae; Streptophyta; Magnoliopsida; Poales; Poaceae
Description: partial small subunit ribosomal RNA
Source: RNAcentral
UUGACUGCAUCAUUGGAUUGUGCAAGGUAUCUCAUAGUUCAAGGGGAAGCUUUUCGUGGAUAUGAUGAAUCUUCCAAUUCCACCAACAAAGGCAAUUUCAGGGAGUUCUUGGACUGGUAUAAGGACAAGAAUAAGGAUGUGAAAGAUGCAUUUGAUAAGGUGCAAGGGAAUGCACUUAUGAUAUGUCCAGAUAUUCAAAAGGACCUUGCUACAUGUUGUGCAUUGGAGGUAACCAAAGUCAUCAAGGAUGAGCUUGGAGAUAAGAAUUUCUCGAUACUUAUUGAUGAGGCUAGAGAUUGCUCAAUAAAGGAACAAAUGGCAAUAAUUUUGAGAUUUUUAGAUGAUCACGGAGAGCUUCAAGAGAGAUUUCUUGCUAUUAAGCACAUCACAGAUUGUACAUCUGCUAGAAUUAAAGAAGCACUGGUUCAUGUGUUGGAGUACCAUGGCCUGCUUGUUAAUAGGCUACGUGGACAGGGUUACGACGGGGCUUCAAAUAUGAGAGGAGAAUUCAACAGUUUGCAAAAGCUAAUUCGUGAUGAGAGUCCAUAUGCUUUCUUUGUUCACUGCUUUGCCCAUCAGUUGCAGCUAGUGGUUGUCACAGUGGCUCAGUGUUGUCCAGUUAUUGCUGAUUUUUUCAACUACCUUCCCUUGAUAGUGACUCAGGUGGGUUCAUCUUGCAAAAGGAAGGAUGCAUUACUUGCAAAGAAUCAAGACAACUUGAUAGAAAUGAUGGAAAAUUGUAAGAUAUCAUAUGGAACUGGGUUACAUCAAGAAACUAACCUAGCUAGACCAGGAGCUACUUGUUGGGGCUCACAUCUUAGAACCUUGCUUUGUAUGUAUACAAUGUGGAAUGCAGUGGUGGAUGUGCUUGCAAUUGUGGUCAAUGAUGCCCGGGAACACACUUCUCAAGGUGGAGCUUCAGGUUUGAUCAUAUCGAUGGAAUGCUUCCAGUUUGUGUUCAUCAUGCUAUUCUUAAUAAACUUUUUGAGCAUCGCUAAUUUGCUAUCACAAGCUUCGCAAAGAAAGAAACAAGAUGUUGUUGAAGCCAUGCGUUUGAUCUUGGAUGUGAAAGAAGCUUUGCAAAAUAUGAAGGACAAUGGGUAUGAUUCAUUAUGUGACCAAGCAAACAACUUCUGUGGGGAACAUGGCAUUGAGGUGCCAAAUAUGGAUUAUCUUGUUAGAGCUAUGGGGCAAUCUGUUCGCAGCAAGAAUAAGGUGACUUGACAUCAUUAUUUCAAGGUUAGCAUAUUCAAUGUUGCUCUUGAUGCAACUCUCACCAAGAUGAAUCACCGAUUCAAUGAAGUUAACACCGAGUUAGUGGAAUGCAUGUCUUGCCUUACACCAACAAACAACUUCUCAAAGUAUAAUGUUGAAAAACUUAUUCGACUUGCUGAAAUUUAUGCUGAGGAUUUUACACAAGCCUUGCUCGGUUGA